RNAcentral lists this ribosomal RNA (468 nucleotides) under uncultured bacterium. RNAcentral's name for it is "partial 16S ribosomal RNA". It matches the Rfam family "Bacterial small subunit ribosomal RNA", at positions 28 to 507 of the family's 1533-position model. The record is from RNAcentral.
GACGAACGCUGGCGGCGUGCUUAACACAUGCAAGUCGAACGGAAAGGCCCUGCUUUUGUGGGGUGCUCGAGUGGCGAACGGGUGAGUAACACGUGAGUAACCUGCCCUUGACUCUGGGAUAACUUCAGGAAACUGGGGCUAAUACCGGAUAGGAGCUCCUGCUGCAUGGUGGGGGGUGGAAAGUUUCGGCGGUUGGGGAUGGACUCGCGGCUUAUCAGCUUGUUGGUGGGGUAGUGGCUUACCAAGGCUUUGACGGGUAGCCGGCCUGAGAGGGUGACCGGCCACAUUGGGACUGAGAUACGGCCCAGACUCCUACGGGAGGCAGCAGUGGGGAAUAUUGCACAAUGGGCGGAAGCCUGAUGCAGCAACGCCGCGUGCGGGAUGACGGCCUUCGGGUUGUAAACCGCUUUCGCCUGUGACGAAGCGUGAGUGACGGUAAUGGGUAAAGAAGCACCGGCUAACUACGUG